RNAcentral lists this ribosomal RNA (253 nucleotides) under uncultured bacterium. RNAcentral's name for it is "partial 16S ribosomal RNA". It matches the Rfam family "Bacterial small subunit ribosomal RNA", at positions 524 to 776 of the family's 1533-position model. The record is from RNAcentral.
UACGAAGGGGGCUAGCGUUGCUCGGAAUCAUUGGGCGUAAAGCGCACGUAGGCGGCUUCAAAAGUCGGAUGUGAAAUCCCACGGCUCAACCGUGGACGUGCAUCCGAAACUGGGAGGCUUGAGUACUGAAGAGGAUCGCGGAAUUCCCGGUGUAGAGGUGAAAUUCGUAGAUAUCGGGAGGAACACCAGUGGCGAAGGCGGCGAUCUGGGCAGAUACUGACGCUGAGGCACGAAAGCGUGGGGAGCAAACAGG